CUGAGAAUCGGACCGUCGGUCUACUGAACAAUUGCAGCCGCACGGUAGAAGAUCUUCCCUUUAUCGA
This 67-nucleotide microRNA precursor is filed under the name Bombyx mori (domestic silkworm). Its description in RNAcentral is "mir-2774 microRNA precursor family". It matches the Rfam family "mir-2774 microRNA precursor family". Lineage: Eukaryota; Metazoa; Arthropoda; Insecta; Lepidoptera; Bombycidae. The record is from Rfam by way of RNAcentral.